Tigriopus californicus is the source of this 1251-nucleotide long non-coding RNA. RefSeq lists it as uncharacterized. Lineage: Eukaryota; Metazoa; Arthropoda; Copepoda; Harpacticoida; Harpacticidae. The transcript has 2 exons. The record is from RefSeq and is a predicted model, not a curated record.
AACGGAACGCUGGAAUGGAUGCUGGCCAAAUACACGAUCGCCGUGCUCCCCGAUCCCCCAAUUCGCGCAAUGAAUGAGCUCAGACCAACUCCAAAAUUCCUACAGAGUAAAAGAAGAAUUUGACCGAAACUGCAUUAGGUUUGCCCUUCUAACAUACCUCGCAAUUGGGAACGACAUGGAAAGCACCAAGCAUACAAUGACUUUCCAACUUCCUCCCACAAUUUCAGAGACCCACACAAACGCGACGGUGUAGACUGAUAUGGAUGACAUCCCUGAGGUUGAAGCACGAAAUUGGUUCAGUCUCGUACCGAUGGUUCUUACUUAGCUCAUAUGAUUACCAACAAUGAACCACAUGAUGGAGAAUGUCAUAAUGUUGGGCAUCAGAGUAAUUAUGAUCCCGGAGCAAAACAACAGUUGGCUGAAGAUGGUGAUGGCUUGCUUUCGUCCAAAAUUAUCGGAAACCACGCCAGCCAGAAAGGUUCCAAUGGCAUAUCCACCGAAGAGGCUCAGCUUGGAUAAGGCUAGAAAUACAGAGGACUACAGAUUUGACACAUUGCGUUAUUUGAACAUAAAUGAUAAAAUUAUUCAUAUGAACAAAUUUGUUCGUACUGGAUCAAAGUGCUGUAAGGGUGACGAACUUACGUUCCCAAUAGUGUUUCUCACAAACCAAGCCAUAUCGCAUGGUGACCGUGUUUUGAAAAAUGGAUCUAUCAAAGACAUAUUUUGGACAGCCUUCCUCGCAUUGGUUGAUGGUCUCAUUCGAUUGUCCGUUGGCUUCACACCAGAAAUCCUCCUUGACGGUGGCAAAGAUCAUUGCAAAGAUAUGAGCGCAUCCCGGUAAACUCAAGAAGAACAUCAAGGCCACGCGUUUUAUCUGCCAAGCUCCAAAUGUGUCCAAGAUGUCCCCAAUCUUGAUAGUCGAUCCAGGAUUCUUCGGAUUGAGAUCGGUUUCUUCGUUUGCAGGCUCGACACUUUCGAUGUUAAGCCUUGCCAUUUUGCUAGGAUACUGAUGCAAGUAUCAAGUUUGUACUGAAGUAGUGCUAUAUACUGUCAGGUGCGGAUGGAUUGCGCGAGGCCCCGCAUAAUGAAGUUGCCCACAGACCUCUAUCACUAGAGAUCGAUGAUCUUCCCAUUAUUUGAAGGCUUCGUUUGUGAGUUAAUCAACAAUUCGCAAUGAUAUACAAUAUUAUUCAAGGACUUCGCCACGACCUGAAAAUAAAAACGCGCGAAAUAUGAUUUGUUUAUACGCCA